CUCUCCAGGAUACAAGAGACAUUUCAGGCAGUUCCUAAUGAUGAUGUCACUGAGAGAUGCCAUGGCCUACCUGCUAAACAGCUUUCCUUACAUUGAACAGAUUUGACCAUGCCUUUUCCAGACAUCAGUAAAGCAAAGGACCACAUGGAGUAUCGAAUUUGUUUCUCUUGACCUUUUUGAUAUCAGUACUACAGUAUCAACUGUGAGGAGCUGUCCGAGGAGCUGUCCUCACAGAUGUGAGGAGCUGUCCGAGGAGCUGUCCUCACAAACUCCAUUACAAGAUGGCACCGGCAUCCGGCAGAACGCACCUAGUAAAAAGGGCAAUAUGCAGGCGCCUGGUAACUUCCCUACUCAAAGGGACACGUACGUUUUGGUACGUCAUCUGGAAUAAUUGGCAGCGACCAGUCAGAGAGUGACACGUCCUAGGCGAGGAUAGUUUCCUAUAUAAGGGACGGUUAUUCCUCACUCUCCGUCUCCGCAUUGUAAGCUUAUGCUCUCCCUCUCAAGACGCAUUAAAGCUUUUAUGUAGUAGGA
Non-coding RNA from Rattus norvegicus (Norway rat), 534 nucleotides. The record is from RefSeq and is a predicted model, not a curated record. Lineage: Eukaryota; Metazoa; Chordata; Mammalia; Rodentia; Muridae.